CCUACGGGAGGCAGCAGUGGGGAAUAUUGGACAAUGGAGGCAACUCUGACCCAGCAACGCCGCGUGAGUGAUGAAGUUCUUCGGAUUGUAAAGUUCUGUCAGCAGGGAUGAAAACAAUGACGGUACCUCAAUAGCAAGCCACGGCUAACUACGUGCCAGCAGCCGCGGUAAUACGUAGGUGGCAAGCGUUAUCCGGAUUGACUGGGCGUAAAGGGUGCGUAGGUGGCUUAGUAAGUUGGCGGUGUAAUGCCGGGGCCCAACCUCCGCGCUACCGUGGAAACUGUUAGGCUAGAGUGCAGGAGAGGUAAGUGGAAUUCCUAGUGUAGCGGUGGAAUGCGUAGAUAUUAGGAGGAACAUCAGGGGCGAAGGCGACUUACUGGACUGUAACUGACGCUGAGGCACGAAAGCGUGGGGAGCAAACAGGAUUAGAUACCCUUGUAGUC
RNAcentral lists this ribosomal RNA (443 nucleotides) under uncultured bacterium. Its description in RNAcentral is "partial 16S ribosomal RNA". It matches the Rfam family "Bacterial small subunit ribosomal RNA", at positions 338 to 795 of the family's 1533-position model. The record is from RNAcentral.